Symphalangus syndactylus (siamang) is the source of this 3703-nucleotide RNA transcript. It is a transcript of the gene named BEN domain containing 6, with no coding region annotated. The record is from RefSeq and is a predicted model, not a curated record. Lineage: Eukaryota; Metazoa; Chordata; Mammalia; Primates; Hylobatidae.
CCGGGCGCCUCUAGCUUCCCGGACACCCGGGGCUUCCGCCUAUCCAGCCUCCCUCGGCCAAAUUGCUGCGGAGUCCGUCGUCAGGGGGCGCCAAGGAGCCAGGGGGAAAACCGUGAGGCGCUGACAGGAGCCUCCCGGCGGUGCUACCCCCCACCUCCCACCUCCCUGCGCCCCGCCCCGAGGUUGGGGCUUUGAAGGAUGCAGCCGGGGAAAGCAUUAACUCUUGAGCUACGUCCAGAAUAGCAUCAUCUUCAUGGGUAUUCCCCACUCCUAGGAUUUCAGAAAACCUUUGAUAACUAAUUGAGAAAAUGCAGAAGAUCUUGCAGACAGAUGAAAUUACCAAUACACAAGCUUUUAGAAAAGGAAAGAGGAAAAGGACAGAGACAAUGGACUCAGAAAAUGCAAAUAGUGACAUGGAUAAAGGACAGAGAGACCCAUAUUCGGGAAAUGCCUUUCUGCCUGGUGAAAGCUCCAGUGAGGAUGAAGAACCUUUAGCAGAAUUGUCAAAGGAAGAAUUGUGCGCCAAAAUAAAAAGCCUGAAAGAAAAACUAACAAACACCCGGAAAGAAAACAGCCGACUUCGACAGUCUUUGGUCAUGCUUCAAGUGUUACCACAAGCAGUCACCCAGUUUGAAGAAUUGGUUGGCAUGGCCGAGGCUCUGCUUAAGGGUGGGGGAACCAUGUCUACAUCUGCAUCCACCCUCUGGAGAGCAACAAACAACUCCUCGCCAGAUUCAUUUGCCUCAACAUGCAGUAAUUCUAAUUCUAACUCCAGUUCACCAGUUUCCUCAAAGCCUGAGGAAGAGCAUCAGACUGAUGAGAAACAGUUCCAGAUUGAAAAAUGGCAGAUUGCCCGUUGUAACAAGAGCAAGCCUCAGAAGUUUAUUAAUGAUUUAAUGCAAGUACUUUACACAAAUGAAUACAUGGCCACUCACAGCCUGACAGGGGCAAAAUCCUCUACUUCAAGGGACAAAGCUGUAAAACCAGCUAUGAAUCAGAAUGAAGUCCAAGAAAUCAUAGGAGUAACAAAACAAUUAUUUCCCAAUACGGAUGAUGUUUCAAUUAGAAGAAUGAUAGGGCAAAAGCUAAACAACUGUACCAAGAAGCCAAAUUUAAGCAAAAAUCUUAACUCUCAGGAUAUUAAAUAGAUCCUUUUGGUCACUGCCUCCUUUUUGGCACUAACUGGUGCGUUAAGCCCAAGUUUGCCUCAGUUCUAACCAACAAUUGGAGUGCUGCCUGACCUGAAUGGGGGAUGCCCCAAAGAGGAUAUCCUGGUUAUGUGAAAAGGCUGGCUAGGGAUCCAUGCUCAGGGGACCUGUGGAACACACCUCUUACAGUGUAGUGCUGCUGGACAGGCACUCUGAUUUGGUGCCUCAAGAUGAUGAGGAAGCUCACUGUCCACUUUGAUCUCACUUUUUGCAGUGUAGAAACUGUAUUACAGGUAUCUGAAACAAAGCACCUUCAAUUCUAAAUCUAUCACCGGAUUUUGUUGGAGAAUCUGCAGCCUUCCUGGCAGUGAGAAAGACAGACAUGUGCAGUGACAGGCUGUAAGACAUAUGUAACAUUGCUGAACUCUCCUAAGGGACCAACAAGCUUGCUGAAGAAGCUGCAUGUAGAUUCCACCCUCAGUACUAGUGAUGCAUCAAACCAGAGAAUUUCUGCCAGUCAAAUAAGCAUGCAAUAUGGUUUCUUUGGAAAUAAGCAUUUCCCAAUCCCCAAAUACCCCUCUGUACAGUUAAUCUAACAGGAUAGUCAGAGCUCUUAUCAUAGCAGCCAAAACUUCAGCCCAUAAGAUUAGUCAUUGUCCUAACCAAUCAUUGUACAUUGAUUAUUACCAAUGACUUCCCAUUAUAGUUUUUGGAUCUUUAGCAUAAGCACAUGCUUGCAAAAGUAAACAGUGAAAUAAUUAAUGUUGGCAAAUAUGAGAACAACAAAGUCAGCCCAAAAUCUGAUAAUCAUGUCUAACCAAGUAAUAAUGUUUUAGCAAUAAAAUUAUAGGAUUAUUCUGUUAUCUAAAAAUGUAUAAAAUAGGAAUAUGAAAAAAAUGACAACAGAAAGAUGUUUUAUUUUAAUAUUAAACAAUUCCACCACACUUCUGAAGAAUAAACCUAAGUGUUCAUGAUUGUUAAAACAAUGCAUCAAUUUUCAGGGAAAUCUUUUUGCUUGUUUAUUUACCAGACAUGUUCUAACUUUGUAUUGCCCAAAGUAUAUUAAAUACAGAUGUGUAAUAUAAAGCAUCAAUAUCACCUAACACAUCGUAUAUAAGGUAUAACAUGAUAGAUAGUUGGUCGAUUACAUUGCUAUACUGCUUAGUUUUAACUGGUUUAUUUUUAUUGUAGCAGAAGAAAAAUGAAAAAAAAAUAUGGGUUUGAUAAUCACACACAUGCAAGUACCAUUUUGUAACUCAACAAAAGAUAAAACAUUCUUCAUCAAAAGCCUUCUUGCUUGGUGUCAGGUUGUCACAUGUGACCACUCUGCAAUGCAAAGCCAUACUUCUUCAGUGCACAAAGUCAUGUUUAAACUUGGAAAAGAGGAUGCUACAGUAGUUUCAAAGUUCAGUGUUGUGGACCCAGGAAACUUUCCAUAAGUCUUGCUUGAUAACAAUGUGAUUGUACAAAAUAAAUGUUCUUAAGGGAACAACUUCUGUAACAUUUGUUACCUUUACAUAAACAUAAAUAAAUCACAUUGAAAAGGUAAAAGUUAUUUUCUUGUUUCUUUAUUAAUGCAUAAAAAUUAGGGAAAUUUUUUUUUCUAGGCUGAUAGCUUUUUCACUCAUCCAUUAAGGCAUUACCAUUGCAAUUUGACUAUGUAGCUCUGACUCAUUUUUCUUGUAAAGAGCCAUGCUAUGUAGGAUAUAUAGACAACGUCCAGGAAAGUAAAUACAUUUAAUAUUUAUAUUGAAAAAGGAUAAUCUUACUAAGAUGUAUGCUAUUUGCUUUAUUAAAAAUGCAACUUGAUAAUGUAAAUUUUGCCUACUAAAGGUAAAUAAAAUUACUUUUGCAAAACAUAACUGUAUUAUUCAACUGGAACUUGUAUGGUCAUGUAUUUUGAAAUAUGUUGAUAUCUUUAUAGAUAAUAGAAUAAAUGUAUUUUUUAUUCAUCUUUGUAAAUUGGUUCUAAAUGAGUUACAAAAUAAGAAAACUAAUAAAACUGAAGAGAGUGCCCAGCAAGCAAUUCAUAUACAUGUAUGCAUCUAUAUAUACAAAUAUUAUGUAUUCACAUGUAUAAUACCUAAGAAAAUGGUUAAAGCAGAAUCUUUAAUAAGUAGGGAAAGGAAGGUUUAUUCAAUGAUACUGAGACCACUAAUAAAUGGAAAACAUUGUUAUAUUCCUACUUCAAAUCAUAUUACAUAGAAACUUUCAGAUGAAUGAAAAGCAAAAAAUGGACUCAGAUGAAAAAACUUUUAAAUACAAGAAUAUUUUUAUGUUCUCUGAAUAAGAAAUACAUUUUAAAUCCAAAGGUAGUUCAGCCAAAAUGCCAAAGAAAAAACUUACUAACACGAGUUCCUACAUGUGUGUUCUGUGAUUUUCCUACACAGAGGUGAUCAUUUCACUAAAAACUUUAUCCUGUGGUGGAUAUAUGACAUGGUCAGCAUUCUCGCUAGUUCUGUGACAUCAUCCUUCUUGUGAAUGUUUUCAUGCAUUUAUCCAUUUUUCCAGCUUUAUCGAAUUGUUUCUUAUAAAAUCUUUGUAUUGAUGCUGUG